This 415-nucleotide ribosomal RNA is filed under the name uncultured bacterium. Its description in RNAcentral is "bacterial SSU rRNA". It matches the Rfam family "Bacterial small subunit ribosomal RNA", at positions 32 to 479 of the family's 1533-position model. The record is from RNAcentral.
AACGCUGGCGGCGCGCCUAACACAUGCAAGCCGAACGGGAAAGUGGAGCAAUCCAUGAGUACAGUGGCGUACGGGUGAGUAACACGUGGGUAAUCUACCUUUUAGUGAGGAAUAACCGAGGGAAACUUUGGCUAAUACCGCAUAAGCCUGAGAAGGGAAAGCAGAAAUGCGCUGAAAGAGGAGCCCGCGGCCGAUUAGCUAGUUGGUGGGGUAAGAGCCCACCAAGGCAGAGAUCGGUAGCCGGCCUGAGAGGGCACACGGCCACACUGGCACUGAAACACGGGCCAGACUCCUACGGGAGGCAGCAGUGGGGAAUCUUGCACAAUGGGGGAAACCCUGAUGCAGCGACGCCGCGUGAGCGAUGAAGCCCUUCGGGGUGUAAAGCUCUUUCGUCAGGGAAGAUAGUGACGGUACC